RNAcentral lists this microRNA precursor (104 nucleotides) under Drosophila busckii. RNAcentral describes it as "mir-274 microRNA precursor family". It matches the Rfam family "mir-274 microRNA precursor family". Lineage: Eukaryota; Metazoa; Arthropoda; Insecta; Diptera; Drosophilidae. The record is from Rfam by way of RNAcentral.
AGUGUUGCAGUUUCGGUUUGUGACCGACACUAACGGGUAUUUCUUUUAUAUUGAGUAAGCCACUUUACUCGUUUUUGCGAUCACAAAUUCUGAAAUUGCAACAA